CCUACGGGAGACAGCAGUGAGGAAUAUUGGUCAAUGGACGAGAGUCUGAACCAGCCAAGUAGCGUGAAGGAUGACUGCCCUAUGGGUUGUAAACUUCUUUUAUAAAGGAAUAAAACGAGGCACGUGUGCCUUUUUGCAUGUACUUUAUGAAUAAGGAUCGGCUAACUCCGUGCCAGCAGCCGCGGUAAUACGGAGGAUCCGAGCGUUAUCCGGAUUUAUUGGGUUUAAAGGGAGCGUAGAUGGGUUGUUAAGUCAGUUGUGAAAGUUUGCGGCUCAACCGUAAAAUUGCAAUUGAUACUGGCAGUCGUGAGUACAGUUGAGGUAGGCGGAAUUCGUGGUGUAGCGGUGAAAUGCUUAGAUAUCACGAAGAACCCCGAUUGCGAAGGCAGCUUACUAAACUGUGACUGACAUUGAUGCUCGAAAGUGUAGGUAUCAAACAGGAUUAGAUACCCGGGUAGUC
RNAcentral lists this ribosomal RNA (460 nucleotides) under uncultured bacterium. RNAcentral's name for it is "partial 16S ribosomal RNA". It matches the Rfam family "Bacterial small subunit ribosomal RNA", at positions 338 to 795 of the family's 1533-position model. The record is from RNAcentral.